AAGAGAGGCCCGACAGCAAUGAAGACUGCUAAUCUUCCCUCCCUUGGUUUGACUCCAAGGCUCACUUG
RNAcentral lists this transfer RNA (68 nucleotides) under Polynemus paradiseus (paradise threadfin). RNAcentral's name for it is "tRNA-Ser(AGY)". The record is from RNAcentral. Lineage: Eukaryota; Metazoa; Chordata; Actinopteri; Polynemidae.